Molecule: ribosomal RNA, 434 nt
Filed under: uncultured Ruminococcus sp.
Lineage: Bacteria; Bacillati; Bacillota; Clostridia; Eubacteriales; Oscillospiraceae
Description: bacterial SSU rRNA
Rfam family: Bacterial small subunit ribosomal RNA
Source: RNAcentral
ACGGGAGGCAGCAGUGGGGAAUAUUGCACAAUGGGCGCAAGCCUGAUGCAGCGAUGCCGCGUGAGGGAAGAAGGUUUUCGGAUUGUAAACCUCUGUCAUCGGGGACGAUAAUGACUGUACCCGAGAAGGAAGCUCCGGCUAACUACGUGCCAGCAGCCGCGGUAAUACGGAGGAUCCGAGCGUUAUCCGGAUUUAUUGGGUUUAAAGGGUGCGCAGGCGGGCUGCUAAGUCUCCGGUGAAAUGUCAGGGCUCAACCUUGGCACUGCCGGAGAUACUGGCGGCCUUGAGAGUGGCGGAGGUAUCCGGAAUGUGUGGUGUAGCGGUGAAAUGCAUAGAUAUCACACAGAACACCGAUUGCGAAGGCAGGAUACCAUACCAUAUCUGACGCUCAGGCACGAAAGCGUGGGGAUCGAACAGGAUUAGAUACCCUGGUA